GGUGGCUCAGUGGUAGAGCUCUUGCCUAGCAUGCAUGAGGCCCUGGGUUCGAUUCCUCAGUACCG
RNAcentral lists this transfer RNA (65 nucleotides) under Dipodomys ordii (Ord's kangaroo rat). It matches the Rfam family "tRNA". From Rfam's summary of the family: Transfer RNA (tRNA) molecules are approximately 80 nucleotides in length. The record is from Rfam by way of RNAcentral. Lineage: Eukaryota; Metazoa; Chordata; Mammalia; Rodentia; Heteromyidae.